RNAcentral lists this ribosomal RNA (439 nucleotides) under uncultured bacterium. RNAcentral's name for it is "partial 16S ribosomal RNA". It matches the Rfam family "Bacterial small subunit ribosomal RNA", at positions 338 to 795 of the family's 1533-position model. The record is from RNAcentral.
CCUACGGGUGGCAGCAGUAGGGAAUUUUGCGCAAUGGGCGAAAGCCUGACGCAGCAACGCCGCGUGAUCGAGACGCCCUUCGGGGUGUAAAGAUCUGUCAGUGGGGACGAAACUUGACGGUACCCACAGAGGAAGCACCGGCUAACUCCGUGCCAGCAGCCGCGGUAAUACGGGGGGGGCAAGCGUUGUCCGGAUUCAUUGGGCUUAAAGGGAGCGUAGGCGGGCGUUCAAGUCAGCUGUAAAAUCGCGCGGCUCAACCGCGCCCCGCAGUUGAAUCUGGACGCCUUGAGGUCACAACAGGCAGGCGGAAUUCGUGGUGUAGCGGUGAAAUGCAUAGAUAUCACGAGGAACCCCGAUUGCGAAGGCAGCCUGCCGGGGUGCGACUGACGCUGAGGCUCGAAGGUGCGGGUAUCAAACAGGAUUAGAUACCCGUGUAGUC